CUGUAUCAGAAAUCAGGCUGCCUUUUUAUUCGGAAAAAGGUCGAGGUGUGGGAUGGGGGUCGCUGCUCUUGAGCCUCGCUCCCUGUAAAGAAGGCAAGCAGGAUCCUAUGGGAAUGGUCAAGGAAACCAAGCAGGGACCGCUCGAGCUAACCAAUUUAAAAGACCUGCAGCUUGGCAGCGUGGCACAAGCAGAAGAAAAAAACCCUGGAAAAUUUUUUACAAACGUUUUCUGGAAGACUUUAAAGGUCUACGUUCACAGCAGCAGCGAGCCUUCAUGAGACAGUGCAGUCAGUUUAAGGACGCAAUCACUGUGAUAUUUUUUGCCUUUUCCCUCUUCACCGUGAUGCUGAGUGGGUGAUUAUAGCAUUAGUUAAUGCAAAGGGAUAGAGCUGAUCAUCUAAAUGCUUCUAAGUGUGCAUGCCGUCUCCCCUGCCCCAAAUUUCAGGAAUUCUCCUGAUUCAUAGUCCAGUCUAUACUAGGCUAGCUGGUGUGGGAAUACAGCACAAAAGGAGCGACUCUGCUUUCUGAAGAGCGUACAGUAAGCUUGAAUACAAGCAGAUGGGAAAGCACGCACAAAAUAAAAUCAUUUAGAACUGUG
Molecule: long non-coding RNA, 598 nt
Organism: Rhea pennata
Lineage: Eukaryota; Metazoa; Chordata; Aves; Rheiformes; Rheidae
Exons: 4
Source: RefSeq, a predicted model, not a curated record